CCUCUAGUGAGAAAGCAACUGCCCGUACCGCAAACCGACACAGGUAGUUGAGGAGAGAAUCCUAAGGUGUGCGAGAGAACUCUCGUUAAGGAACUCGGCAAAAUGACCCCGUAACUUCGGGAGAAGGGGUGCUGACCGCAAGGUCAGCCGCAGUGAAUAGGCCCAAGCGACUGUUUAUCAAAAACACAGGUCUCUGCAAAAUCGAAAGAUGACGUAUAGGGGCUGACGCCUGCCCGGUGCUGGAAGGUUAAGAGGAGAGGUUAGCGCAAGCGAAGCUUUGAAUUGAAGCCCCAGUAAACGGCGGCCGUAACUAUAACGGUCCUAAGGUAGCGAAAUUCCUUGUCGGGUAAGUUCCGACCCGCACGAAAGGCGUAACGAUUUGGGCACUGUCUCAACGAGAGACUCGGUGAAAUUAUAGUACCAGUGAAGAUGCUGGUUACCCGCGACAGGACGGAAAGACCCCAUGGAGCUUUACUGCAGUUUGAUAUUGCGUGUUUGUAUCACAUGUACAGGAUAGGUAGGAGCCGAAGAUACCGGGACGCCAGUCUCGGAGGAGGCAACGGUGGGAUACUACCCUUGUGAUAUGACCACUCUAACCCGCUGCUCUUAGCGAGCAGGGAGACAGUGUCAGACGGGCAGUUUGACUGGGGCGGUCGCCUCCAAAAAUGUAACGGAGGCGCCCAAAGGUUCCCUCAGAAUGGUUGGAAAUCAUUCGUAGAGUGUAAAGGCAGAAGGGAGCUUGACUACGAGACCUACAAGUCGAGCAGGGACGAAAGUCGGGCUUAGUGAUCCGGUGGUUCCGCAUGGAAGGGCCAUCGCUCAACGGAUAAAAGCUACCCUGGGGAUAACAGGCUUAUCUCCCCCAAGAGUUCACAUCGACGGGGAGGUUUGGCACCUCGAUGUCGGCUCAUCGCAUCCUGGGGCUGUAGUCGGUCCCAAGGGUUGGGCCGUUCGCCCAUUAAAGCGGUACGCGAGCUGGGUUCAGAACGUCGUGAGACAGUUCGGUCCCUAUCCGUCGCGGGCGUUGGAAAUUUGAGAGGAGCUGUCCUUAGUACGAGAGGACCGGGAUGGACACACCGCUGGUGCACCAGUUGUUCUGCCAAGAGCAUCGCUGGGUAGCUAUGUGUGGACGGGAUAAACGCUGAAAGCAUCUAAGCGUGAAGCCCCCCUCAAGAUGAGAUUUCCCAUCACUUUAAGUGAGUAAGACCCCUGAGAGAUGAUCAGGUAGAUAGGUUGGGAGUGGAAGUACAGCGAUGUAUGGAGCGGACCAAUACUAAUCGGUCGAGGACUUAACC
Molecule: ribosomal RNA, 1295 nt
Filed under: metagenome
Description: bacterial LSU rRNA
Rfam family: Bacterial large subunit ribosomal RNA
Source: RNAcentral